AAAAUAGCAGAUUGUGAUUGUGAAUUUUCAUACCGUUGGAACAACACUAGCAAGUAGCAACACAAGCAAUCACAAGUGCCUUAGUUCCUGCCCUAACCCCUUCUGCAAAACCAAAACCAAAACCAAAAUCAAAAACAAAAACAAAAUUGAUAGAAAUGAAGAAGGGGGGGUUUAGGGAUUUGAGAAUUGAGUAGUAAUAAGUAAUAACCUUGAACAUAGUUUUUGGAAUUAAGAAUUUGUAAAUCUGGAAUCACCCCCAAAGCAUGUUAGCAAAGAGGAGGAGAGAGAUAGAGAGAAGAAGAAGAAGUACAAGGAAGAAGGAAGAAGACACGGUUGAGAGAGAAGGAAGAAAAUGAUAGAUCGAAUAUGAAUCAGUAAAGUUGUAGAAGAUGAAGAACUGGUUAAUGGGUUUUAUAAUGAAAGAGAGAAGAAGAACACAACUAGUUUGAGAGUGAAGAAGUAGAAGACUGGUUUUCUUAGGUUUGAUAGAGAUGAGAAGCAGAGAAAAGAGAUCGAGACAGAGAGAGAGGAGAGAAAAAGGAAAGCGGUUUCCAUAAAAUAAAAAAGGUGUCCGCUUUCCUUAUUUUUGGUCUAGC
RNAcentral lists this long non-coding RNA (596 nucleotides) under Aquilegia coerulea. Its description in RNAcentral is "long non-coding RNA (ACOE_LNC001285)". Lineage: Eukaryota; Viridiplantae; Streptophyta; Magnoliopsida; Ranunculales; Ranunculaceae. The record is from RNAcentral.